GAGAAUCUCGAAAAGAACGUUGUUCAAAAUGGCGGCAAUGGUGGUUUGGCCAGUUUCCAUGAGAGUUUAUUCUAACGAAUAAACUCAAGGUUGCUGUAACAAAGCAGAGAUAUAAAAGUUUAUAAUCGUCGAAUUGUUAGUCCAUUGAAAUAUCAAAAGCAUGAAAGAAGUAUUCCCAAGGACGAUAGUGGUACGCUAACGCUGAUUUGAGUUUUCCGGUAUGUCAACAUCAAAGUCGCAAACGCACUUGCGUAUUACGCGAGAUGAAAAGAGACAGACAGAGAGAGAGAGAGAGUGAGAGAGAGAGAGAGAGAGAAAUGGAGGGUGAACGACAUUAGGGACGUCGAACCAUCCAACUCGAGCAACAAGGAUAAUUAUGGCAGGUAAUUACCUCUACUUGUAGUCGAAGGAUAGCAUCGAGAAAGGAGCUACUCGACUGUAUUCUCCGACAGAGAACUUUUACACUUUUCUUUGACGCAAGAAAGGGGAAAGUAAAGUGGAAAAAAAAGGAGAGAGAGAGAGAGAGAGAGAGAGAG
Vespula pensylvanica (western yellowjacket) is the source of this 536-nucleotide long non-coding RNA. RefSeq lists it as uncharacterized. The record is from RefSeq and is a predicted model, not a curated record. The transcript has 2 exons. Lineage: Eukaryota; Metazoa; Arthropoda; Insecta; Hymenoptera; Vespidae.